CUGUUCAGCAACACAUAUACUACAAUUGGAAUGAUACAGAGAAGAUUAGCAUGGUCCCUGCAAAAGGAUGACACCUAAAUUCAUGAAGCAUUAUAUUUUUGA
Molecule: small nuclear RNA, 102 nt
Organism: Trichechus manatus latirostris (Florida manatee)
Lineage: Eukaryota; Metazoa; Chordata; Mammalia; Sirenia; Trichechidae
Source: RefSeq, a predicted model, not a curated record